This 253-nucleotide ribosomal RNA is filed under the name uncultured prokaryote. RNAcentral's name for it is "partial 16S ribosomal RNA". It matches the Rfam family "Bacterial small subunit ribosomal RNA", at positions 525 to 777 of the family's 1533-position model. The record is from RNAcentral.
ACGGAGGAUCCAAGCGUUAUCCGGAAUCAUUGGGUUUAAAGGGUCCGUAGGCGGGCCUGUAAGUCAGUGGUGAAAUCUUUCGGCUCAACCGGAAAAUUGCCAUUGAUACUGCAGGCCUUGAAUUAUUGGGAAGUAACUAGAAUAUGUAGUGUAGCGGUGAAAUGCUUAGAUAUUACAUGGAAUACCGAUUGCGAAGGCAGGUUACUAUCAAUACAUUGACGCUGAUGGACGAAAGCGUGGGGAGCGAACAGGA